Molecule: ribosomal RNA, 714 nt
Filed under: uncultured bacterium
Lineage: Bacteria
Description: bacterial SSU rRNA
Rfam family: Bacterial small subunit ribosomal RNA
Source: RNAcentral
AUUAGAGUUUGAUCCUGGCUCAGAAUGAACGUUGGCGGCAUGGAUUAGGCAUGCAAGUCGAGCGAGAAGGGUUUUGAAGCUUGCUUUGAAACCCGGAAAGCGGCGCAAGGGAGAGUAACGAGUAGUUAUCUACCCCAAGGCCCGGAAUAGCUGCGGGAAACUGCAGGUAAUGCCGGAUAAUAUCCCCGGAUCAAAGGUGUGAUUCCGCCUUGGAAGGAGACUGCUUUGUACUAGCUUGUUGGUAGGGUAAUGGCCUACCAAGGCUACGAUGCAUAGCGGGCGUGAGAGCGUGGCCCGUCUCACUGGGACUGAAACACUGCCCAGACACCUACGGGUGGCUGCAGUCGAGAAUCUUCGGCAAUGGGCGAAAGCCUGACCGAGCGAUGCCGCGUGCGGGAUGAAGGCCCUCGGGUUGUAAACCGCUGUCGUAGAGGAGAAAGGUCUGAUGAAGAAUCAGAUUUGAUCUAUUCUAGGAGGAAGUCCGGGCUAAGUUCGUGCCAGCAGCCGCGGUAACACGAACCGGACAAACGUUAUUCGGAAUUAUUGGGCUUAAAGGGUGCGUAGGCGGUGCGGUAAGUGCGGUGUGAAAGCCCUCGGCUCAACCGAGGAAUUGCGCUGCAUACUGCCGUGCUGGAGGGAGACAGAGGUAAGCGGAACUGAUGGUGGAGCGGUGAAAUGCGUUGAUAUCAUCAGGAACACCGGUGGCGAAAGCGG